Molecule: ribosomal RNA, 439 nt
Filed under: uncultured bacterium
Lineage: Bacteria
Description: partial 16S ribosomal RNA
Rfam family: Bacterial small subunit ribosomal RNA
Source: RNAcentral
CUACGGGGGGCUCCAGUGGGGAAUAUUGCACAAUGGGCGAAAGCCUGAUGCAGCAACGCCGCGUGAGUGAAGAAGGCCUUCGGGUCGUAAAACUCUUUUCUUGAGGAAGAAUAUUGACGGUACUCAAGGAAUAAGCCCCGGCUAAUUACGUGCCAGCAGCCGCGGUAAUACGUAAGGGGCAAGCGUUAUCCGGAAUCACUGGGCGUAAAGGGUGCGUAGGUGGUCAAAUAAGUCAGAAGUGAAAGGCUAUGGCUCAACCAUAGUAAGCUUUUGAAACUGUUUGACUUGAGUGCAGGAGAGGAAAGUGGAAUUCCUAGUGUAGCGGUGAAAUGCGUAGAUAUUAGGAGGAACACCAGUGGCGAAGGCGACUUUCUGGACUGUAACUGACACUGAGGCACGAAAGCGUGGGGAGCGAACAGGAUUAGAUACCCUCGUAGUC